GAGUUUGAUCCUGGCUCAGGAUGAACGCUAGCGGCAGGCUUAAUACAUGCAAGUCGAGGGGCAGCAGCUUUAUAGCAAUAUAGAGGCUGGCGACCGGCAAACGGGUGCGGAACACGUACACAACCUUCCUUGAAUAGGGGGAUAGCCCAUAGAAAUGUGGAUUAAUACCCCGUAAUAUAGCGGUGUGGCAUCACACUGUUAUUAUAGUUUCGGCGAUUCGAGAUGGGUGUGCGGCUGAUUAGGUAGUUGGCGGGGUAAAGGCCCACCAAGCCUUCGAUCAGUAGCUGAUGUGAGAGCAUGAUCAGCCACACGGGCACUGAGACACGGGCCCGACUCCUACGGGAGGCAGCAGUAAGGAAUAUUGGUCAAUGGACGCAAGUCUGAACCAGCCAUGCCGCGUGAAGGAUGAAGGUCCUCUGGAUUGUAAACUUCUUUUAUAGGGGGCGAAAAAAGGUCUUUCUAGAUCACUUGACAGUACCCUAUGAAUAAGCACCGGCUAACUCCGUGCCAGCAGCCGCGGUAAUACGGAGGGUGCAAGCGUUAUCCGGAUUCACUGGGUUUAAAGGGUGCGUAGGCGGGUAGGUAAGUCAGAGGUGAAAUCCUGGAGCUUAACUCCAGAACUGCCUUUGAUACUAUCUAUCUUGAAUAUGGUGGAGGUAAGCGGAAUAUGUCAWGUAGCGGUGAAAUGCAUAGAUAUGACAUAGAACACCUAUUGCGAAGGCAGCUUACUACGCCUAUAUUGACGCUGAGGCACRAAAGCGUGGGGAUCAAACAGGAUUAGAUACCCUGKWAGUCCACGCCCUARACGAUGAUUACUCGACGUAUGCCGAWACMCAKUAUGCGUCUGAGCGAAAGCAUUWAAKUAWYCWCCUUGGGAAGUACGACCSGCAAGGUUGAAACUCMAAGGAAUUGGGCGGGGGUCCGCSACAGGCGGUGGAASYAKGUGGUUUAAUUUCGAUGWAWCCSGAGGGAA
RNAcentral lists this ribosomal RNA (973 nucleotides) under uncultured Bacteroidota bacterium. RNAcentral's name for it is "uncultured Bacteroidetes bacterium partial 16S ribosomal RNA". The record is from RNAcentral. Lineage: Bacteria; Pseudomonadati; Bacteroidota.